CGCGGCGUGCUCCUGGUGCUGUGUCUUAUGCCCAGGGUGUUAAUGAGCACAAGCCUGUUGCUUGAGAUGAACUGGUGCAGCUUCGAGAAUAAAAGGGAAAUGGCAGUGAAAUUACCUGAUGGUGAGUAGAUCAGAUGUUCCUGACAGUUUGCUCAGGUCUGCCAUCACCUGUCAGCUGACUUACCUGCCUUGAGCACCCAUCUCUAACCCUGCUCAUGUAGAAAAAGAUGUGCCCCCUUAUCAUGCACUGUUGCAAAGUAGCCCUGUAGUGUGGCCACAUGGCUGCCUGAACUUGACCUGAGCAGAUAGCCACAAGGAAAUAGAAACACACCCCCCUCCCGACUUUUUCAGGAAUUUUGAGGCCUGUUUCCCAUUCCUCCCUAAAUAGCUAGUCAACUGUCCCCUUCCAGGUGACAUCAGGCACAGACCCCUCCUGGGGGCCUGUCUGGAACUUCCCAUAAAAGAAAAAGAAUUACCCACAAAGGAAGAAUCUGCCCUAAACCUUCAAAGGCCCUAGAAAACCUAACUCACAGCUCUCCCUGGCCAAGAUUGUUGGGGAAGCUGACCAAUCCCUUAUCUGAGGGGGGGUGACC
This is a long non-coding RNA of Arvicola amphibius (Eurasian water vole), 593 nucleotides long. RefSeq lists it as uncharacterized. The transcript has 4 exons. The record is from RefSeq and is a predicted model, not a curated record. Lineage: Eukaryota; Metazoa; Chordata; Mammalia; Rodentia; Cricetidae.